Molecule: non-coding RNA, 4254 nt
Organism: Rattus norvegicus (Norway rat)
Lineage: Eukaryota; Metazoa; Chordata; Mammalia; Rodentia; Muridae
Source: RefSeq, a predicted model, not a curated record
UUCAUUAAUGUAGCUGAAAAUGACUUGGAUUUCUGACCCUCUUGUCUGGGUUACAAGCCUGUGCCAUUUCGCCAUGGGGAGGCCUCAGUUAGGGUCUCUUGGGAUGCAUCUCCUCACUGAGGUGUUUACCUCACUGAGGUAAUUUUUUUUCUUUUUUCUUUUUUUUUUUUUCCGGAGCUGGGGACUGAACCCAGGGCCUCGAGCUUGCUAGGCAAGCGCUCUACCGCUGAGCUACAUCUCCAACCCCACUGAGGUGGUUUUUAAUUGCAGUCAUUUUAUAGAGCCUCCUAACACCCCAAGAGUCAACAGUUCUUAAAAAUUCAGUUCCAUACAGCUGUGCACCAGCUUCCUGACCUUGUUCAUUUGUCAAACAGACUGAAUAUUCCUGGCUUGCAUCUCCUGGCUCCCCAGACUGCCACAAACACUAAACAUACCUCCAGAAUAAGGCCCUGCAGUCUUCCUAGCCCCUUGAAAGCCAAAAUAUCAGUUUGACCUAGGAUCUGCCAAUCAAGGGGCAUUCGGGUUCCUUUGGACUAAGACACAGAAGAGGAAGAGGGGACUUGGAAGCCUAACACUCUGGACAGGCUAAAGGGGCACGGCUUGCAGUUUCUGGUUAUGGUACUCCAAAGCCUAACUCUGGCCUUCCCAACUCUCAUCCAGGUUACUUGUACUCCUUCCAAAGUUUCAAACAGCUUCCAAAGACUAGGCCAUUAGAUACUGACACUCAUUUUGGUGAUUACUUAAAUUUUUAUAAGAAUAUACAUAAUUUUUAAAUUAUUAAAUGUAUCUAAUUAUGUGGGUGGCAUGCACAUGCCAUAGCUCUCAUGUGGAGGUAAGAGAACAGCUUUCAGGAGCUGGUUCUCUCCAUCCACCAUGAAAGUUCCAGAGAAGAAUACUCAAGUUGUCAGGCUUGGCAGCAAACAACUUGACCUACUGAGCCAUGUUACCGGCCUGAUCACUUUCAGGCCUAUUGGAACAAAACAAAAAGUCAAACAAGAUAGGCACUUGGGAAGCCAUAGUGCAGCAUUUCAAGUCUGGGGCUAAUCUGGGCUGCAAAGCAAGACCAUGCCAGUACUUGUAGGACACUAACUGAUGGUUUGCCUUAUCUUACACAAAGUGAUUUUUAAGCACAUUUGAUCACUCAGCAUGUUAGAACUCUACUCAAAAAGCCCAAAACUAAAGUAGAAGCGAUCUUCAAAAAAGAUCUAAAAUGUACCUGUACUUUUUUCUUGAUGGCUACUUGACUACAUCUGUAAUCAAUUAAAACCCAAUCAACUAGGUACACCUGUGAGGGAUUUUUCUUAAGUCAUUUGAGGUGGAAAGACCCAUGUUUAAUCUGGAUCUUUUGAAGUGAGAAGACACACCUUUAAUCUGUAUUUUUGAGGUGAAAAGACCCACUUUUAAUCUAGGCCACACCUUCUGCUAGCAACCAUGGGAGAAGGACGCUUGCUCUCUCUUGGCCUGCUUGCUCUCACUGGCAAGUCCAUCUCUUCACUGUCAGGAGAACCCACUUCUCUAGGAUGUACACUGAAGACCAGCUGAGACAUCCUGCCUUGGGGACUGAACGACGACUGUAUCCUUGGACUUUCUCUUGGUAGACAACCAUUGUUGGAUGAGCUGGACCACAGCCUGUAAGCCAUUCUAGUAAUCCAAUGUAUUCAUUUUAGCAGUUCUGUUCCUCUAGAGCAGUGGUUCUCAACCUUCCUGUUGUGACCUCAUGUUGUGGUGACCCCCAACCAUAAAAUUAUUUUUUAUUCUACUUCAUAACUGUAAUUUUGCUACUGUUAUAAAUUGUAAUGUAAAUGUCUUCUGACAGUUUUAGGUGACCCCUGUGAAAGGGUCAUUCAACACCCCCAAAGAGGUUGAGACCCACUGUUCUAAAGAACUGUGGUUAAUACAUUGUACUUAGUAAAUGUCCUACUGAGUGACUGUUUUGACUGGAGAAGGUUUUAAGGGUAAGAGUAAUUGACUUCCAGAUAAGAAAAUCAGUGGUUUCAGUUUCCAUCCCAUUCCCAAGAAUAGUAAGAUCUGGAGUCCCAUAUGCAGGCCAGGACUGAGACUGUCUGGGGUGGGUCUGCACUGAGAGAGAGGGAUUUGUUCUUUGGAAGUGUCUCUGGCAUUAUAUUUGGUUUCAUUUAGGAACUUCUUCCUGAGCUUUAAGAAAGCAGAUAGUAGGGGCUGGGGAUUUAGCUCAGUGGUAGAGCGCUUACCUAGGAAGCGCAAGGCCCUGGGUUCGGUCCCCAGCUCCGAAAAAAAGAACCAAAAAAAAAAAAAAAAAAAAGAAAGCAGAUAGUAAAUGGAAUGCACAAUCAACCCUCCAAAUUUAAACUAUCAUCAAAAUCACAGAACCAUCAAGAUCUCACUUCCACAUUUAGACAAAAGCGCGUUAACACACUUCAAAGCCAUUUUUGGUUUCAAUAUAGUUUAUUCUGAUGAAGUUACAAAAGUAGGUAUAAAAUACUUUUUUAAAAAGUACAGUUAACGACUUAGAAAAAUAGAUAAAGCCCUAAAAGUUUUAAAAAUACAACAUAAAUUUUUUACGUGAGGAAUAUUUUAAGUUAUUUUAGAUGGUAACGAAGACUACUUUAUGCAAACUAUUUUUGAGGCAGACCAACACAGAAUGCUGUUUUAUAACUAGUCCACAGCACACUGGCCAUCCAGAAUGGCUUUACAGAAAACUAUGUGAUACGUUCUGAUGAGAAAACCCGAGUGAAUUUCAAUGCAGUUGCUUCAGUAAAAUUACUGCUGCCACAUGUGCUCCAAAGCCCAUCAAAGCCCUGCAUCAAAAUUGAAUGUAAAGUCAGGAAGACCAAAGACUACUGUGGCUUCCUUCUUUGUCAGAACUCUCACUGACCUCAGGCGGAAAGAACAUGACUGCUAAAGGUGCUCAGCAGCGCAUGCCCAGGCUGGCAGUGUUUCAGGACUCCAUUCUGACUGGGGAGUGGACACACACUUGUAGGGGCCUCACUCUUCAGUCUUGAUUUGUUUAUGUGCCUGAGGUAAUGACAUGUCUGAGAAGCUAUGAGACGCUAUAUUUAGUAUGAUCUUGGGGCUCAGAGAGAAGCCAAGAGUACAAACAGGAAACCUCACCGCCAGGACUGUGCCUGUGCCUUUGCUACAAGCCAUGGAGAACAGAGACCUGCAAUUCUCCAGUGAGCAGUUGUGUGAACUAAACUAGCUCUGCAGGCCAAGGAGCUGCAGAUAAAAGGACCCCUGGCUAACUGGCUGCUGGUAAGACACUUUACUCAAUCAGCAGAGUAACAAUAUAGUAGCAGUUGACACAAAAAUUGUACAAGAGAAGUGUAAGUAUUUUUUAUAAAUCUAUCAUUGGCCAAGGUUUUUUUUUAAUUUAAUGUAUUGGUGUUUGUCCUGCAUGCAUGUUUGUGUGAGGGAGUUGGAUCCACUGGAACUUGAGUUACAAACACUUGUGAGCCACCAUAUGGGUGCUGGAAAUUGAACCAGGGUCCUUUGGAAGAGCAGCCAAUGCUUUAAACAAUGUGCCAUCUCUUCAGUCCCCAAUAUCCAAGUUUUUCAAGUCCUGAAAGUUAAAGCACCACAGGGCUAAGGCAGAAUUCACCAGUCAAUCGGAAGUCACUGCAACAAAGUCCAGAGAGCAGAAUCAGACAGAACAGCUGACUCCUGCUGAGGGGAGCAGGAGAGCCAUGAAAUAUGCAGAUAAACCCAGGACAGACUGAUUUCUUCAGAUGUUAUAAAUGAGCCCUCUAGCCAAAGCAGAAAGACAAACUCCUCCUCCCAUGUCUUUGCCUCACUGAGCAACAGCGCAGUGUGCACACUGCUGAUUAAGGCAGGUUGGUGUGGGAGUCUAGCACUGUUUUCAAUGAUAAAAGGAAAAAAGGGGAGGGGGACACAACCAAAAACAGAGAUACUCUUUUUCACCAGCAAGGCUUUGCUUUAUAUCCCACUAGGGGCUGCCUCCUCCGUAUCUUAACAUCUACCAUUGGGAGCUCAGACAUGGAGAGGGCAUUUCUAUCCCCAAAAUACAUGCAGAGAAACCUUGGUUUUGAGGGUAUCGGAACUCAUAAAAAUGAUUGGGCCCUGGUUGAGAAAGAGAAUUUCAUUCCUUAAGAGACUAAAGCAGGGGUUGGGGAUUUAACUCAGUGGUAGAGCGCUUGCCUAGCAAGCGCAAGGCCCUGGAUUCAGUCCUCAGCUCUGGAAAAAAAAAAAAAAAAAAAAGAGAGAGACUAAAGCAAAUCAAAGUAAAUGGAGUCUAGGGUUGAGAGGUGAAACAUUCUU